UUGCGGGCUAGCCCGGGUAACCCGGCGUCACCUAUCACCCGAAACCGCCGAUAUGCGGGGGGCGAAGCCAAUGGAAGACAUACCAAACGCUAUUUAAGAUCGGAUGCCCAACAAUGAAUCUCCGUCCUGCGGGGAUGGCGUUGGUAGUGGAGUCUGCCGGAGGGCAGGUUUGCUAUCUCUGCUGCGGAAAACGGUUUAGGCCCGGAAGGGAGCGGACAUCACCGCAGACGCUUCAUCGCUUGUAGGAUCGCGGAGAGGAGGCGGAUCUCCGAACCACUGGAUGGUGGGCGGGUGGCAACCAUUGGCGCGCUCGCAU
Molecule: signal recognition particle RNA, 316 nt
Filed under: ANME-2 cluster archaeon
Lineage: Archaea; Methanobacteriati; Methanobacteriota; Methanomicrobia; Methanosarcinales
Description: Archaeal signal recognition particle RNA
Rfam family: Archaeal signal recognition particle RNA
Source: Rfam by way of RNAcentral